UCAUUCACCUCUUUUCUCUCAUUUCACACUCAGUUACUCUCUCUCCUCUCCUCUCCUCUCCUCCAUCAAUCUUCCCCAUUCAAUUGGUGAUGAAACAAGGCGAGAAAAAUGGCGAUAUGGGACGAGGAGAGAGAAAAAAUGGUGAAAUUGGGGGUUUUGAUGAUUUUUAGAUCGGAGGGUUUAUUGAUUUUGCUCUAAGGCUUCUCCAUUCUCCAACUCGCUAGAUCUAGCUUAGUCAACCCAGCUUUCCUCUUUGUAAAAGAAAUAAAAUCAAAUCAAAUUGAAUUUCGUCGGUCCAAGCAAUUGAAGCGUUCCAUUGAAGCGCACUUGACGUUCUCCAUUGAAGCAGCUUCUGAAGUGACUAAGCUCUCUCUUGAAGAAACUGAGAGUGUGACUGCUGACCAUGGUGAGAGCAUUAGUCAUGUAACUUUUGGGCUAAGAACUAGAUCAGGAACCAAGCAAUUGAAGCUGGAUCCGAAUAUCUACUUUGCUUUGAUAAAGGAAAAGUGAAUAAACUGCGUUAUCAGGUUUUGAUGGAGUGGAGAUCCAUGGAGCCCAUGGCUACCUCAUUGACCAAUUCCUAAAAGAUGGCUGUACAAAAUUUAAGCUUCAUCAAGACAGUAUACAAUUCUACAAGAUUUUUCAAGUUCUUAGUCUACUAUAUGGAAUAUAAAACUUGUUUAAAUUUUCAUGUUG
Long non-coding RNA from Chenopodium quinoa (quinoa), 696 nucleotides. RefSeq lists it as uncharacterized. Lineage: Eukaryota; Viridiplantae; Streptophyta; Magnoliopsida; Caryophyllales; Amaranthaceae. The record is from RefSeq and is a predicted model, not a curated record. The transcript is spliced from 3 exons.